UAUGUCGUUUAACCAAGUUUCCGUAGGUGAACCUGCGGAAGGAUCAUUAUCGAGUUUUGACUGGGUUGUAGCUGGCCUUCCGGAGGCAUGUGCACGCCCUAGCGCCAUCCACUCUACCACCUGUGCACCUUACUGUAGACUUGAAACAGACUCUCGUAGGAAACGCGGUCCCUUGACCGGAAUGCUGUGCGCAAACAUGGCUGUGCCUUGCGUUUCAAGUCUACGUUUUUAUUAUACCCCAUAAGAAUGUAAUCAGAAUGUGUAUUAAUGCGAUGUAACGCAUCUAAAUUAAUACAACUUUCAACAACGGAUCUCUUGGCUCUCGCAUCGAUGAAAAACGCAGCGAAAUGCGAUAAGUAAUGUGAAUUGCAAAAUUCAGUGAAUCAUCGAAUCUUUGAACGCACCUUGCGCUCCUUGGUAUUCCGAGGAGCAUGCCUGUUUGAGUGUCAUGAAAUUCUUCAACCCUGCAAGCUUUUGCAAGUUGGAUAGGCUUGGACUGUGGAGGCUAUGUGCGGCCGUUCUCCAGAAGUCAGCUCCUCUUAAAUGCAUUAGCUUGGAACCUUUGCGGACCAGCUCUCAGUGUGAUAAUGAUCUACGCCAUGCGACCGUGAAGCAGCUUUAACAUGGCGUUCAGCUUCUAACAGUCUCAUUGACUUGGAGACAAAUUUAUGACAUCUUUGACCUCAAAUCAGGUAGGACUACCCGCUGAACUUAAGCAUAUCAAUAAGCGGAGGAAAAGAAACUAAGCAAAGAUUCCCCUAGUAACUGCGAGGAAAGGGGGGAAAA
RNAcentral lists this ribosomal RNA (786 nucleotides) under Ganoderma sp. BAB-5106. Its description in RNAcentral is "eukaryotic LSU rRNA". The stretch from base 296 to 449 matches the Rfam family "5.8S ribosomal RNA". The record is from RNAcentral. Lineage: Eukaryota; Fungi; Basidiomycota; Agaricomycetes; Polyporales; Polyporaceae.